GACAGAGGGCGCGAGCGUUGUUCGGAAUCACUGGGCGUAAAGCGCGCGCAGGCGGACCAGGCAAGUCUGGAGUGAAAUCUCGCCGCUCAACGGCGAGGCUGCUUUGGAAACUGCGGGUCUGGAGACCGGUAGAGGCUGGUAGAAUUGCAGGUGUAGCGGUGGAAUGCGUAGAGAUCUGCAAGAAUACCCGUGGCGAAGGCGGCCAGCUGGGCCGGUUCUGACGCUGAGGUGCGAAAGCGUGGGGAGCAAACAGG
This 254-nucleotide ribosomal RNA is filed under the name uncultured bacterium. RNAcentral describes it as "partial 16S ribosomal RNA". It matches the Rfam family "Bacterial small subunit ribosomal RNA", at positions 524 to 776 of the family's 1533-position model. The record is from RNAcentral.